This is a long non-coding RNA of Ochlerotatus camptorhynchus, 577 nucleotides long. RefSeq lists it as uncharacterized. The record is from RefSeq and is a predicted model, not a curated record. The transcript is spliced from 3 exons. Lineage: Eukaryota; Metazoa; Arthropoda; Insecta; Diptera; Culicidae.
ACAUCAAUUUAGCAAAGUGAGUAACAUUUACUCUAAUUAAAUAAAAAUUAAAUUUUCCUCACUUAUGAGUAAGAUCAAAUGUCAUAAACAACUGGAACCGUAUUUCCAAGCUAGAAUUUUCACGAACAAUGUCCGUGGAAUUUCUGCAAUCAGCAGCUCAAAGCUACCGUAGGCAACAUUCUUCGUUCCUCCGAAACAGGUUUACUGAAUCGGAGUUCCACAUACUGUCGAUCAUCUGAAUAAAUUCUUGGUGCAAAUAGUUCCGAGGGAUUGAGCUUCAUAUUAACAGUAGGAAGUUUCAGACAGUAAAAAUCCCAGAAAUAUCCGGGAGUAGCUCUGCUCCCAGAGAGUAUUGGUUUAUCUGAUAGCAUAAAAGGAUAGCGUUCAAAUGAUCAACAUCGGUAACCGAAAGUUGACGGAAGAUUCUGAUAACUAAAAGAAGCAUUAACAGUAACGAAACUGAUGCUGCCCAGUAAACUAUCACAGAUAGUCAAGCUUCGAUGUGAAAAAUUUAAUAAUGUAUUGUGUUAAUUUCGUUAAUAUUUAGGUUUUAAAUGUUGUUAAAUAUAAAAUGUUC